RNAcentral lists this ribosomal RNA (253 nucleotides) under uncultured bacterium. Its description in RNAcentral is "partial 16S ribosomal RNA". It matches the Rfam family "Bacterial small subunit ribosomal RNA", at positions 524 to 776 of the family's 1533-position model. The record is from RNAcentral.
UACAGAGGUCUCAAGCGUUGUUCGGAUUCAUUGGGCGUAAAGGGUGCGUAGGUGGCGCCGUAAGUCGGAUGUGAAAUUUCGGAGCUUAACUCCGAAACUGCAUUCGAUACUGCCGUGCUUGAGGACUGGAGAGGAGACUGGAAUUUACGGUGUAGCGGUGAAAUGCGUAGAUAUCGUAAGGAAGACCAGUGGCGAAGGCGGGUCUCUGGACAGUUCCUGACGCUGAGGCACGAAGGCCAGGGGAGCAAACGGG